CAGAGUUGCAAGACUCCCCUAAACCAUUGUGAACCUACCUUCUACCGUUGCUUCGGCGGGCGGGCCCAGCGCCCCCCCCCGGCCCCCCGCGGGCGCCCGCCGGAGGAUACCCAAACUCUUGACAUUAGUGGCCUCUCUGAGUAUUCUUUACUGAAUAAGUCA
RNAcentral lists this unclassified non-coding RNA (162 nucleotides) under soil metagenome. RNAcentral's name for it is "partial internal transcribed spacer 1". The record is from RNAcentral.